Molecule: RNA transcript, 988 nt
Organism: Limulus polyphemus (Atlantic horseshoe crab)
Lineage: Eukaryota; Metazoa; Arthropoda; Merostomata; Xiphosura; Limulidae
Gene name: protein ABHD14B-like
Exons: 3
Source: RefSeq, a predicted model, not a curated record
GAGCAGCAAAGUUUAAUUAGUCAAUUGCUAAAAGUUUACAAUGAUUAUAGAAAGGGGGAAAGAUAUUGUGCGUUCUGCUUCAGUGUGAAUAAUUAAUCACGUUAAAGUUGUUUUUAUUCGAACACGAAGGAACUAUUAAACGACCGUAACCUAUAAUAAGGAUUAAUAAUAUUAAUAAUAGCCUAAUUCCGUAAUCUGUGGUAUAUGACAUCGGUUUGUUGAAACAGAACCAACUAUUACCAUAUAACGAUGUUUCGAGCUAAUAACCUAUUUUUGUACCAAAAGAAGAAUUUACUUGUUGGAAUAAUAUGUUUGUUUCUGUGUUGUAUUUGGAUUUUAAUGUGGAUUCCACAUCAAACUAAUGAACUUACCAACAAGAAGUUGAAGAACAUGUGGUUGAACUUGCCUUUCAUUUCCAAAGGAACGCUGAACGAGGACAAACUUGAAAAUUAUCCAGAAAGUAGCGUUAAAUUAGACAAAGUUCCACUAAAAGUCUUCAACUUGACAGUCCAGGUAUUUAUCACAGACUUAUCUGUUGGUGAUUCGGGAAAAGCGCUAUAGAUAACGUCAUACCUAACAAACGACCGGAUUUCAUGAGUGAGUUGAUCUGGAGCCUUCAGAUGCCCCAGCCGUUGGUGGUGGCGCCCUCUCUGAGCAGUCUUUUUGUUCUUCCCCAUCUAAGCAUGUAUCCAGAGAAGAUUUUGGCUGCUAUUAUUAUAUCUCCUAUCAUUCCUUCGAGUAUGAAGGCUGAAGACUACGUAAAAAUUAAGGUUCCAACCUUGGUAAUCAGUGGGGACAAAGACCAAAAGAAUAACUUAAAACCCGCUAAAGCCUUGGAGAAGAUUCCAGGAAGUGAGCUCCGUAUUUUCCCGCACGCCUCCUCUCCUGCUCAUCAAAGUCAACCGAAACUUUUUCAUAAAGAGCUGUACAACUUCCUGAAGAAGUUCAAGUAACGUUAUCACUAGAAGUGGAACAACUUGUUAUGUAU